RNAcentral lists this long non-coding RNA (257 nucleotides) under Capra hircus (goat). RNAcentral describes it as "lncRNA (ENSCHIG00000007309.1)". The record is from RNAcentral. Lineage: Eukaryota; Metazoa; Chordata; Mammalia; Artiodactyla; Bovidae.
CUGUCACUGAGUGACCGUUAUUAGUACUGCUCUGUUACUGGUCAGUGUAAGGAACUGUCAAUGAGGAAGGAUUAGUGAAGCGAUUCAGCCAACGGUCGUCAGGUGGAGAGUGAGCUACUGAUUAGAACUAAACUGUACUCACAAAGGGAAGAAAGGACUGGUAAAAGCCGAUGGAAGCAUUUCACCUUUUGUGUACUCAUUUCAACUCAGACUGGAAGAUCUCAGGUGUUACUUCUUUGGACCAAAUUGUUGUGAGC